UACGAAGGGGGCUAGCGUUGCUCGGAAUUACUGGGCGUAAAGGGCGCGUAGGCGGAUAGUUUAGUCAGAGGUGAAAGCCCAGGGCUCAACCCUGGAAUUGCCUUUGAUACUGGCUAUCUUGAGUUCGGGAGAGGUGAGUGGAACUCCGAGUGUAGAGGUGAAAUUCGUAGAUAUUCGGAAGAACACCAGUGGCGAAGGCGACUCACUGGCCCGAUACUGACGCUGAGGCACGAAAGCGUGGGGAGCAAACAGGG
Molecule: ribosomal RNA, 254 nt
Filed under: uncultured bacterium
Lineage: Bacteria
Description: partial 16S ribosomal RNA
Rfam family: Bacterial small subunit ribosomal RNA
Source: RNAcentral